UUUCUCUGCAGCACACAAUGCGACUGUUCCACAACAUCUUCAGUGUGUCGACAUGAAAGUUACUGGUUUUUUCUUUUCGCUGACACGUGGACAUCUAUUCAUUGCUGAAGCACCAAACAAGCAGGUGUACUAUGGUGACUCUGGUGGAGGAGUGGUGUUGAACAAGAAGAUUUAUGGUGUGAUUGCUGGCCGUGGAUUAAGCCAUGCAUUUCGGAAUUCAGUUUUUAGCAUGGUUGUGUGUGAUUACAUAGACUGGAUACGCAAUACAACUGGGCUUAACAAACCUAAACUAUCAUGAAAUAAAAAUUUCAUCAAAUUUCUUCUCAUAUGUAAUUUCAUAGUUAUAUCUUCAUUAGUUUGGUCUAGAUGUUUGUAGAAUUAGGACAGAUUAAUAAUUUAGUUUUUUCUCACCUGUCCUUGAACUCCCUAGUGGAACUUUCUCUGCCUCUGAAAUGAAUAAAUAAAUCAAUAAAUUAAUGAAAAAAAUAA
This is a long non-coding RNA of Gambusia affinis (western mosquitofish), 489 nucleotides long. RefSeq lists it as uncharacterized. Lineage: Eukaryota; Metazoa; Chordata; Actinopteri; Cyprinodontiformes; Poeciliidae. The transcript is spliced from 2 exons. The record is from RefSeq and is a predicted model, not a curated record.